This 480-nucleotide ribosomal RNA is filed under the name uncultured bacterium. RNAcentral's name for it is "partial 16S ribosomal RNA". It matches the Rfam family "Bacterial small subunit ribosomal RNA", at positions 28 to 523 of the family's 1533-position model. The record is from RNAcentral.
GACGAACGCUGGCGGCGUGCUUAACACAUGCAAGUCGAACGAUGAAGUUCCUUCGGGAAUGGAUUAGUGGCGAGCGGGUGAGGAACACGUGAGAAACCUGCCUUUCAUUUUGGGAUAACUCCGGGAAACCGGGGCUAAAACCGAAUACUCCGUCUCGGCGGCAUCGCUGAGCCGGGAAAAAAUUUUGAUGAAAGAUGGUCUCGCGGCCUAUCAGCUAGUUGGUGAGGUAAUGGCUCACCAAGGCAACGACGGGUAGCCGGCCUGAGAGGGCGACCGGCCACACGGGGACUGAGACACGGCCCAGACUCCUACGGGAGGCAGCAGUGGGGAAUAUUGGGCAAUGGGCGCAAGCCUGACCCAGCGACGCCGCGUGAGGGAUGAAGGCCUUCGGGUUGUAAACCUCUUUCAGUAGGGAAGAAGCGAAAGUAACGGUACCUAAAGAAGAAGCACCGGCUAACUAUGUGCCAGCCGCCGCCGUAA